CCCACCAAUAGGGAACGUGAGCUGGGUUUAGAUCGUCGUGAGAUAGGUUAGUUUUACUAUACUGAUGACAGUGUCGCAAUAGUAAUUCAACCUAGUAUAAGAGGAACCGUUGAUUCGCACAAUUGGUCAUCACGCUUGGUUGAAAAGCCAGUGACGUGAAGCUACCGUGCGCUGGAAUAUGACUGAAUGCCUCUAAGUCAGAAUCUGGGCUAGAAGCGAUGCAUGCACCCGUCGCCCGCUUGCCGACCCGGAGUGGGGGCCGUCUAGCCCCUAAAGGCAGGUGUCGUUGGAGAAACCCGUGCGACAGAUGAGCUGCGUCGGCCGCCUUGAAGUACAAUUCCUAUCUCGAGCGGCGGGAAGAAUCCUUUGCAGAUGAUUUAAAUACGCGAUGGGGUAUUGUAAGUGGCAGAGUGGCCUUGUUGCCAUGAUCCAUUGAGAU
This 439-nucleotide ribosomal RNA is filed under the name Camellia saluenensis. RNAcentral describes it as "partial large subunit ribosomal RNA". It matches the Rfam family "Eukaryotic large subunit ribosomal RNA", at positions 2936 to 3377 of the family's 3401-position model. Lineage: Eukaryota; Viridiplantae; Streptophyta; Magnoliopsida; Ericales; Theaceae. The record is from RNAcentral.